CCUACGGGAGACAGCAGUGAGGAAUAUUGGUCAAUGGACGAGAGUCUGAACCAGCCAAGUAGCGUGAAGGAUGACUGCCCUAUGGGUUGUAAACUUCUUUUAUAUGGGAAUAAAACGUUCCACGUGUGGGAUUUUGUAUGUACCAUAUGAAUAAGGAUCGGCUAACUCCGUGCCAGCAGCCGCGGUAAUACGGAGGAUCCGAGCGUUAUCCGGAUUUAUUGGGUUUAAAGGGAGCGUAGGUGGAUUGUUAAGUCAGUUGGGAAAGUUUGCGGCUCAACCGUAAAAUUGCAGUUGAAACUGGCAGUCGUGAGUACAGGAGAGGGGGGCGGAAAUAGUGGUGGUGCGGGGAAAUGCUGAGAUAACACGAAGAACUCCGAUUGCGAAGGCAGUUCACGUGACUGCAAAUGACACUGAGGCUCGAAAGUGUGGGUAUCAAACAGGAUUAGAUACCCGGGUAGUC
RNAcentral lists this ribosomal RNA (460 nucleotides) under uncultured bacterium. Its description in RNAcentral is "partial 16S ribosomal RNA". It matches the Rfam family "Bacterial small subunit ribosomal RNA", at positions 338 to 795 of the family's 1533-position model. The record is from RNAcentral.